This 137-nucleotide unclassified non-coding RNA is filed under the name uncultured fungus. Its description in RNAcentral is "sequence contains ITS1, 5.8S rRNA gene". RNAcentral also lists the same sequence under 1 other name. Lineage: Eukaryota; Fungi. The record is from RNAcentral.
CCGAGUUUUCAACUCCCAAACCCACUGUGAACAUAUACCUUUGUUUUCGUUGCCUCGGCGGUUCGCGCCGCCGGGUGACACCCAAACUCUGAUUUGAUAUAGCAAGUCUUUCUGAGUAAAACAUUCUAAAUGAAUCA